This is a long non-coding RNA of Mus musculus (house mouse), 1601 nucleotides long. RefSeq annotates it as predicted gene, 35631. The transcript has 2 exons. NCBI's taxonomy places the organism in Eukaryota, Metazoa, Chordata, Mammalia, Rodentia, Muridae. The record is from RefSeq and is a predicted model, not a curated record.
GCUGAGGGGUCGCGCGAAUGACCAAGGUGCCUAAAGGUAAAAGAAGGCCAGAGGAGCCGAAUUCCGUCUGAAAUAUUACUCGUUUGGCGCCCGGUGUGUGGCCUUGCAUAUCCUUGCAGUGAAAAGAAGCGGCCACACCCUUGCAACCGCAGGAACCUAUUGGUACUCUCCUGGGGGACCCUUGUCAGGACAACCUAGAGACUACGCUUUCCCAGCGGGAGCUGACUCCCGGGAGUGGGGAGAGGAGUCGGAGGCCCGCGGCGCGCGUUUCCCGGUAGGAUGAGGUGCGGCCGGAGACGGGGGCCGGCGGUGCAGGUGGCAGCCGCGUCCGGGAUCGCAGGCGGAGGCCUGGCUCGCGCUCAGCUCCCGAGUCCCCGGGUGCCUCUCCUGGCCCCGCCCUAGCCCCGGUGUCUCCGAGCCUGCCUCCUUGUCCCCUGGAGUCGAGGGGGCUGGGACUGGGCGGGGAAUCUGGAAAAACCACCCAGAUUGCAUUGCAGUGGGCGAGGCCGCUUGGAGGAGCCGGUUCUGCGGAGCCGCGUCGCCCCAGGGCUCUCUAGACGUGACCAUCUCGGUUGCUCGGCUCUACCGAAGAGGCAACACCUGGCAAAGGCACGAGACUCCGCGGCACGCUCAGCACACCGGGCUGGGAGGCCCCAAGUCAGGCAAGCGAAGGUUGCAGAGAAAGUGAUCACAGCCGCACCUGAAGCACCUCCGACAGGACUUUGGAGUUUGGAUCCAUCGUUCCUACGACAAGUUUUAAAGAACGGAAGACUUAAAGUCGGCGCUUUUACUAGGAGAUGCCGCAACAGGAAACUAACAUGAAUCUCACAGCUGCCCCUCUUUUGCAGAGACUCUCCAUCCCCCAUUUUAAUAAGCUGGAUUAUCUGUUUCUAACAUUUUUUAAUUUUUAGAUUUUAAAUUCAAUUUUUAAUUCAGUUUAAUGUGUCCAACUGGAUUUACCUUAACAAGGGUUUUGCUGUUUGUUGUUUUGGGGUAGAUGCUCAGGGCUUGUAACAGCCUGGCACUUGCUCUGCCCACAACAAAUACACAAAUACAGUAAUUUUAAUGAUAAAAAGAAAGGAAGGAAAGGAGGACGUGACUGCUUCUAGGUACGGAUUAACAUUUUUUUAGCCAGUGAUCUCAGAGGCAAAGGCUAGGGAAUCUUAUGAACCUAGUCUAAAAACCCAGUUUCGGGAUAACCAGAGCUACACAGACUAGGUAGUCUGGAAAAAGAUUGAGAUUAGCGAUAUGAGGGAGCCCAUAGCUAGAGGUAUGUGGAAGGGUCCAGAAUGAAGAGGAAGCUGAGCCACGCCGUGUGAGAAGAGGAAGAUAGAGAGAGGGAAACCAGGUGCAGUGGCCAAGGGGCCAAAAUAGCUGGGUUAUUGGUAGAAGGGCAACUCAGCCCAGUUCCUGUACUGGAGAGUUCAGGGUAGGGGGCAGAGUAAACCGACUAAGAGGACCUUGUAACUGGUACGGACUGAGGGAUGCUGAGUUUUACGCUAGGGUUUAAGACCUAGCAUCCCAGGUUUUUGUUGUCAGUAAAGGGGUCGUCCCUUAGUUAUUAGGCUGAAACUGGGGCUUUGUCAGCAGCCCAGGAAAGC